Molecule: ribosomal RNA, 276 nt
Filed under: uncultured bacterium
Lineage: Bacteria
Description: partial 16S ribosomal RNA
Rfam family: Bacterial small subunit ribosomal RNA
Source: RNAcentral
UUGGGCCUACGGGACGCAGCAGUGAGGAAUAUUGGUCAAUGGGAGAGAUCCUGAACCAGCCACGCCGCGUGAGGGAAGACGGCCCUAUGGGUUGUAAACCUCUUUUGUCAGAGAACAAAACCCGGGACGUGUCCCGGACUGCGUGUAUCCGAAGAAAAAGCAUCGGCUAACUCCGUGCCAGCCGCCGCGGUAAUACGGUGGAUGCGAGCGUUAUCCGGAUUUAUUGGGUUUAAAGUGUGCGUAGGCGGUCCGUUAAGUCAGCGGUAAAAUGGCGGG